Hemicordylus capensis (graceful crag lizard) is the source of this 381-nucleotide long non-coding RNA. RefSeq lists it as uncharacterized. The record is from RefSeq and is a predicted model, not a curated record. Lineage: Eukaryota; Metazoa; Chordata; Lepidosauria; Squamata; Cordylidae. The transcript is spliced from 3 exons.
GGGCUACUCUGUAGGAGGCUGGUGGAUGUGGGAGGAGCCACCACUGCCCCUGCCACUACAAUGCUGCCACUGAAAUUCCACAGAAGAUGAUCGCUUAGCAAAUUUGGCCGUCAUCCAGGAACUGGACCCAGCCACGCUCUGACCUCCAUUCCUAAUGGACGCGCCCAGGCAAAGGACAGAGCUAGAGCAUUAUGCAGAGCUCAGAAAGUUUCCUGAUGGCGACAGCUGCACAUGUGCAUCGUCCCAGUUGUGUGAAUAGUCCUGGAUCACUUCAAGGAUAAUCAGUUACAGUGUUACAUUCCGAGCAAGGGAUCAGUCUGAUGUUUACAGGUGACCUCAAAAUCCAAUCCCUUGCCAAUGAUUGGAGCAUGGGUGACUGGC